RNAcentral lists this ribosomal RNA (504 nucleotides) under uncultured cyanobacterium. Its description in RNAcentral is "bacterial SSU rRNA". It matches the Rfam family "Bacterial small subunit ribosomal RNA", at positions 353 to 866 of the family's 1533-position model. The record is from RNAcentral. Lineage: Bacteria; Bacillati; Cyanobacteriota.
UCUCUUUAAUCUUUCGCAAUGGCCGAAAGGCUGACGGAGCAAUACCGCGUGAAGGAAGACAAAAAACGAACGUAAACUUCUUUUAUUAAGGAUGAAUUCGAGACGUUACUUAAUGAAUAAGCAACUGCUAACUUCGUGCCAGCAGCAGCGGUAAUACGAAGGUUGCAAGCGUUAUCCGGAAUCAUUGGGCGUAAAGCGUCUGUAGGUUGUUUAUCAAGUUUCAAAUUAAACUCUAGGCUCAACCUAGAGGUUGUUUGAAAAACUGAUAAGCUAGAGGAUGGGAGAGGUAAGCGGAAUGGUUGGUGUAGUAGUAAUAUGCAUUGAUAUCAGCUAGAACACCAAAUGCGAAGGCAGCUUACUGGAACAUAUCUGACACUGAGAGACGAAAGUGUGUGUAGCGAAUGGGAUUAGAUACCCCAGUAGUCCACGCCCUAAACGAUGGGUACUAAUUAUUGGCAGUAUCGAUCCUGCCAGUGUUGUUUAGCUAAGUUAACACCUUAAGUA